Molecule: transfer RNA, 63 nt
Filed under: Phryganistria guangxiensis
Lineage: Eukaryota; Metazoa; Arthropoda; Insecta; Phasmatodea; Phasmatidae
Description: tRNA-Thr
Source: RNAcentral
UUUAAUAAUUUAAAUAAAAUAUUGGUUUUGUAAACCAAAAAUGAACAAAUCUUUCUUAAAACU